Molecule: non-coding RNA, 1048 nt
Organism: Camellia sinensis
Lineage: Eukaryota; Viridiplantae; Streptophyta; Magnoliopsida; Ericales; Theaceae
Source: RefSeq, a predicted model, not a curated record
UUAUUAUAUGUCAUAUAUCAUUCAAAGAUAAUAAAAAUGCAAUGUAAUACUAACUUUUGUAAAUCUACAUUAUUUUUCUUUUAUAUUUGCACCCUAGGUUAUUUUGUUUAAAUUUAUAAUUAGUUUCUUGUAUGUUUAAGUGAUGGACACAUGUGUUCCCUAAUUGUCGAGGUCUAAAAUUAAAAAAUAACAGGACAUGUUUGGACAAGUGUCUGACAUGUAUUGAGAAGUGUCCAAUGAGUGUUUGUGUCCGAAACAGAUACGCUACUUUUUGAGAAGUGUCUGUGCUUCAUAGUCGGUAAUAGUAUUGCAUAUUCAAUAUAUAAUAGAGUUUUAAUUGCUGCUCCUCUUGACUUUAGCUCAAAUCGAUGUUUGUUUUGUACCUACUCUUGUUAUGGUGUGUGCUAUUUGAUAACAUUGAUUGGUUCAUCCACACAUAAAGAAGGGAAAAAGACACUGUUUACCCUCCUAAAACUCAUAGUUGAUUAUAAAGGACAGAGCCUGUUUUUUGUUGUUCUAAUUCCUAUUUGUUAUCUAUGGUUCUUAUGAAAGAUCAUUUUAUCUUGGUUGCUAUAAUAUAAUAGGUAAAACCCAUAUUACAGAUUCAAAAUUAACUAUAUUUUCUAUUUUUUUCUUCUUUUAUGAGUUUUACUAAGCAAAGUUUGAUUCUUAUGGGUUUCUUCUAGAUUUGGAUUUCAUCAACCUCCUUUGAACAGUGUUAACCAUCUCCAUCUCCACUGUUUUGCACUUCCCUAUACACCAAGAUGGAAACAUAUAAAAUACAUGUCUUUGGGAUGUCUGGGUGGAUUUAUUGAAGCCGAGAAGUUGUUGGAAAGGAUAAAGCCAUUUUCUUCUAUUCCAUCAAAAGUGUGACUUUAUUCACCGUUCAUCUGUGUAUUGGAUUGUAUUUAAUCUCAUUUCACAACUGUAGGUUAUGUUAUAAUCACUUAAGUCAAUAUAUGCGAAUGCUUUUUCCCUUUUAAUAAACUUAAUAGAGAUUGUGAUACGCCUUUGCUUAUCUUAUAAUGAAUUUCUCUUUGUUUUGCAA